This 476-nucleotide ribosomal RNA is filed under the name uncultured bacterium. RNAcentral's name for it is "bacterial SSU rRNA". It matches the Rfam family "Bacterial small subunit ribosomal RNA", at positions 8 to 526 of the family's 1533-position model. The record is from RNAcentral.
AGAGUUUGAUCCUGGCUCAGAACGAACGCUGGCGGCGCGCUUAACACAUGCAAGUCGAGCGGCUCACUUUCGGGUGGGCAGCGGCGGACGGGUGAGUAACGCGUGGGAACCUGCCCUGGAGUUCGGGACAACAGCUGGAAACGGCUGCUAACACCGGAUACGCCCCGUGAGGGGGAAAGUUCACGCUCUGGGAUGGGCCCGCGUACGAUUAGCUAGUUGGCGGGGUAAUGGCCCACCAAGGCUUCGAUCGUUAGCCGGUCUGAGAGGAUGAUCGGCCACACUGGGACUGAGACACGGCCCAGACUCCUACGGGAGGCAGCAGUGGGGAAUCUUGGACAAUGGGGGCAACCCUGAUCCAGCGACGCCGCGUGGGUGACGAAGGCCUUCGGGUUGUAAAGCCCUUUUCCUGGGGACGAUGAUGACGGUACCCGGGGAAUAAGCACCGGCUAACUCCGUGCCAGCAGCCGCGGUAAUAC